GGGGCCGUAGCUCAGCUGGGAGAGCGCUUGAAUGGCAUUCAAGAGGUCAGGAGUUCGAUCCUCCUCGGCUCCA
This 73-nucleotide transfer RNA is filed under the name Acidobacteriota bacterium. RNAcentral's name for it is "tRNA-Ala". It matches the Rfam family "tRNA". From Rfam's summary of the family: Transfer RNA (tRNA) molecules are approximately 80 nucleotides in length. RNAcentral also lists the same sequence under 4 other names. Lineage: Bacteria; Pseudomonadati; Acidobacteriota. The record is from RNAcentral.